Molecule: ribosomal RNA, 232 nt
Filed under: uncultured Pseudomonas sp.
Lineage: Bacteria; Pseudomonadati; Pseudomonadota; Gammaproteobacteria; Pseudomonadales; Pseudomonadaceae
Description: partial 16S ribosomal RNA
Rfam family: Bacterial small subunit ribosomal RNA
Source: RNAcentral
AAGUACUGCNCGUAGUGUGGGACAACGUUUCGAAAGGAACGCUAAUACCGCAUACGUCCUACGGGAGAAAGCAGGGGACCUUCGGGCCUUGCGCUAUCAGAUGAGCCUAGGUCGGAUUAGCUAGUUGGUGAGGUAAUGGCUCACCAAGGCGACGAUCCGUAACUGGUCUGAGAGGAUGAUCAGUCACACUGGAGCUGAGACACGGUCCAGACUCCUACGGGAGGCAGCAGUG